AAGUGAGCACCUCCUCUACUUUUAAUACAAUGUAAAUCUCACACAAAAAGAAGUCAAUGCUUCUAAAUUUUUCAAAUUUUCUUUAGUCUUACUACCCGGAACGCCUUGCGAAAUGCUACAUCUUACAUAUGCCGGGAUUCUUCGUGACUGUUUGGAGAUUCGUCUGCCGUUUCCUAGAGAAAACAACUCAGGAAAAGGUUUGAUCUUUAAUCAUCUCGUGAUGUAUCUAUCUCCACAAAUUCAUUUUUUAAGCAAAUCUGAAGCACGUUACUUUUUUUUUCCCUGGUUUUAUAGAUUGUAAUAGUAACAGACGGAGAAGAACAGAGAAAAUUUGAGGAGGAGGUUGGAUUAGAGGCUUUACCUGAAGAAUACGGAGGCCGAGCUAAGCUCACAUUAAUCCAAGAUGUCAUUCUUCCUCAGACUGCUCCACCAAUGUUACCAACAAACAAUAAUGCUUAAUUCUUAAUUCUUGGAAAAGCAUUUAACCCUUCAAACACUGAAUCCUGCUUUAAUACAUAUUAUCUCCCUACUGCUUUACUCUUUUUAUU
Molecule: long non-coding RNA, 548 nt
Filed under: Eutrema salsugineum
Lineage: Eukaryota; Viridiplantae; Streptophyta; Magnoliopsida; Brassicales; Brassicaceae
Description: long non-coding RNA (ESAL_LNC000625)
Source: RNAcentral